This 223-nucleotide ribosomal RNA is filed under the name uncultured bacterium. Its description in RNAcentral is "partial 16S ribosomal RNA". It matches the Rfam family "Bacterial small subunit ribosomal RNA", at positions 116 to 334 of the family's 1533-position model. The record is from RNAcentral.
CGUAGGUAGCCUGCCUUGUAGCGGGGGAUAACUAUUGGAAACGAUAGCUAAUACCGCAUAACAAUGGAUGACACAUGUCAUUUAUUUGAAAGGGGCAAUUGCUCCACUACAAGAUGGACCUGCGUUGUAUUAGCUAGUAGGUGAGGUAACGGCUCACCUAGGCGACGAUACAUAGCCGACCUGAGAGGGUGAUCGGCCACACUGGGACUGAGACACGGCCCAG